Long non-coding RNA from Helianthus annuus (common sunflower), 534 nucleotides. RefSeq lists it as uncharacterized. The record is from RefSeq and is a predicted model, not a curated record. The transcript has 3 exons. Lineage: Eukaryota; Viridiplantae; Streptophyta; Magnoliopsida; Asterales; Asteraceae.
UUAUGGAGCCAAAAACACACACGCUCGUCAACUUUCGAUUACAGAAACUACGCAAUAUACCGAAACAAGAUUUUAAAGGUGUAUAUAUAUAGCAUCAGCCAUCUCGACUCAUCGACACCACUCGAAAGACCCUCACAAACUCACGCCCAACACCUCUCACAACCCCACAUCAUUUCGAACACCUUACACCCUUUGCCGGAAUCGGAGUUACGUCGGAACCAAAACCUCCAAAACUACACUCAAACUCGCCGGAAAACUUGCACAUAGCCGGAACCUCGCCGGAGAAGACGACCGGCCCGGGUAAUCUUCUUGCGCUCGUUGCAACUCUUGCAAUUUAUUGGACAACUCUUUCUCUUAUUCUCUUACCAAGAAACGCAACGCACUCUAAGGAUGAUUUAUCAAGAUACAAGAAAGCAAGCUAGGACGGCCUAGAAACUCAUUUUAGAAAUAAACUAUUGUUUGAAUUUAUAUUUGGAUGUUGAAACUUUGUAUUAUCCUUUAGAAUCUAAUAAAAUGAUUUAAUUUAUAUUGUCA